Molecule: long non-coding RNA, 1151 nt
Filed under: Homo sapiens (human)
Lineage: Eukaryota; Metazoa; Chordata; Mammalia; Primates; Hominidae
Description: HSALNT0321062
Source: RNAcentral
UUGGCUAAGCAUUAUAAUAAUGUGAUCUCCCAGCAGAGAAUACCUUUCUAGGACAUAUCAAAAAGGUAAACUCUAGAGUUUACUUAAACUCAUAUCUUCUGUAUCAGUCAGGGUGAAGAUAAGGUUAAGAUAGGCAGGAAGCCACUACUACUGUUUGAGGGGAAGGGGAGGAAGUGGUCAUUGGAACUUGAAGAGCUGUGGUUGUACAAGAUGCAGCGAUCUUUGGUAGAGAAAUGUUGCUGUGCAUUUACUGCUAACAAGGAGGUAUCUGGUCAAGUAAGUGUACCUUCUUCUGGUCUUCUGUUGCUGAUGCCUCCCAUUGGAUGAACCCGACUGGAAGUCAGAGGGCAAGAAAACCUGUUGAUGUAGUCCAUAGGACCCCAGAACAUUGAGUAGAAGGGAAAGGGUAGAGAAUAGGUUUGAAGGUGGCCUUAUACCAAACUUCAUUUUAAAAGUGAAAGCACUCAGAACCUGUAUUAGUCAUAGUUCUCUAAAGAAAUAGAGCCAAUAGAAUAUAGAUAGAGAGAGAGCGAGAUAGAUAAACAGAUAGAUAGACAGAGAUAUAGAUAUAUCAGAAGGGAUUUACUUCGGGAAUUGGUUCACUUGAUUAUGGAGGCUGAGAAGUCCCACAAUAUCCUGUCUGCAAGCUGAAGAACAAGGGAAGAUGGUAGCAUGGCUCAGUCCAAAUCCAAGGGCCUGAGGACCAGGGGAGCCAACGGUGUAACUCUCAGUCCUAAGCUGACAGCUUGAAAAUUGGGGAGUAUCUGGUGCAAGUCCUGGAGUCCAAAGGCCCGGGAGUUCUGAUGUCCAAGGGCAGGAGAAGAUGGGUGUCCCAGUUCCAGAAGAGAGAGUGAGCAAAUUUGCCUUUCUUCUGCCUUUUUGUUCUGUCAGGCCCUCAGUCAACUGGAUGGUAUGGGCCUGCACUGGGUGAGGAGGGAUCUUCCUAGUCCAGUUAUUCAAAUGCCAGUCUCUUCUGGAACACCCUCACAGACAUAUCUAGAAACAAUGCUUCAUCAGAAGUUAUCUGCAUGUCCCUGAAUCCAGUCAAAUUGACACCUGAAAUUAACCAUCCUAGACACAAAGAAUUAAAUGACUUGUUGCAUGUCAUUGAUAGAUAUUAGAUUCUCACUGUAUUUAUGACCUAAUAAUUG